This 2923-nucleotide ribosomal RNA is filed under the name Klebsiella pneumoniae. RNAcentral describes it as "bacterial LSU rRNA". It matches the Rfam family "Bacterial large subunit ribosomal RNA". Lineage: Bacteria; Pseudomonadati; Pseudomonadota; Gammaproteobacteria; Enterobacterales; Enterobacteriaceae. The record is from RNAcentral.
GGGUUGUGAGGUUAAGCGACUAAGCGUACACGGUGGAUGCCCUGGCAGUCAGAGGCGAUGAAGGACGUGCUAAUCUGCGAAAAGCGUCGGUAAGGUGAUAUGAACCGUUAUAACCGGCGAUGUCCGAAUGGGGAAACCCAGUGCAAUUCGUUGCACUAUCGUUAACUGAAUACAUAGGUUAACGAGGCGAACCGGGGGAACUGAAACAUCUAAGUACCCCGAGGAAAAGAAAUCAACCGAGAUUCCCCCAGUAGCGGCGAGCGAACGGGGAGCAGCCCAGAGUCUGAAUCAGCUUGUGUGUUAGUGGAACGGUCUGGAAAGUCCGACGGUACAGGGUGAUAGUCCCGUACACCAAAAUGCACAGGUUGUGAACUCGAAGAGUAGGGCGGGACACGUGGUAUCCUGUCUGAAUAUGGGGGGACCAUCCUCCAAGGCUAAAUACUCCUGACUGACCGAUAGUGAACCAGUACCGUGAGGGAAAGGCGAAAAGAACCCCGGCGAGGGGAGUGAAAAAGAACCUGAAACCGUGUACGUACAAGCAGUGGGAGCACCUUCGGGUGUGACUGCGUACCUUUUGUAUAAUGGGUCAGCGACUUAUAUUCUGUAGCAAGGUUAACCGUAUAGGGGAGCCGCAGGGAAACCGAGUCUUAACUGGGCGUUAAGUUGCAGGGUAUAGACCCGAAACCCGGUGAUCUAGCCAUGGGCAGGUUGAAGGUUGGGUAACACUAACUGGAGGACCGAACCGACUAAUGUUGAAAAAUUAGCGGAUGACUUGUGGCUGGGGGUGAAAGGCCAAUCAAACCGGGAGAUAGCUGGUUCUCCCCGAAAGCUAUUUAGGUAGCGCCUCGUGAACUCAUCUUCGGGGGUAGAGCACUGUUUCGGCUAGGGGGUCAUCCCGACUUACCAACCCGAUGCAAACUACGAAUACCGAAGAAUGUUAUCACGGGAGACACACGGCGGGUGCUAACGUCCGUCGUGAAGAGGGAAACAACCCAGACCGCCAGCUAAGGUCCCAAAGUCAUGGUUAAGUGGGAAACGAUGUGGGAAGGCACAGACAGCCAGGAUGUUGGCUUAGAAGCAGCCAUCAUUUAAAGAAAGCGUAAUAGCUCACUGGUCGAGUCGGCCUGCGCGGAAGAUGUAACGGGGCUAAACCAUGCACCGAAGCUGCGGCAGCGACACUAUGUGUUGUUGGGUAGGGGAGCGUUCUGUAAGCCUGCGAAGGUGUGCUGUGAGGCAUGCUGGAGGUAUCAGAAGUGCGAAUGCUGACAUAAGUAACGAUAAAGCGGGUGAAAAGCCCGCUCGCCGGAAGACCAAGGGUUCCUGUCCAACGUUAAUCGGGGCAGGGUGAGUCGACCCCUAAGGCGAGGCCGAAAGGCGUAGUCGAUGGGAAACAGGUUAAUAUUCCUGUACUUGGUGUUACUGCGAAGGGGGGACGGAGAAGGCUAUGUUAGCCGGGCGACGGUUGUCCCGGUUUAAGCAUGUAGGCUGAUUGUCCAGGCAAAUCCGGAUAAUCAAGGCUGAGGUGUGAUGACGAGGCACUACGGUGCUGAAGUAACAAAUGCCCUGCUUCCAGGAAAAGCCUCUAAGCAUCAGGUAACAUCAAAUCGUACCCCAAACCGACACAGGUGGUCAGGUAGAGAAUACCAAGGCGCUUGAGAGAACUCGGGUGAAGGAACUAGGCAAAAUGGUGCCGUAACUUCGGGAGAAGGCACGCUGGUGUGUAGGUGAAGCCCCUGCGGGUGGAGCUGAGACCAGUCGAAGAUACCAGCUGGCUGCAACUGUUUAUUAAAAACACAGCACUGUGCAAACACGAAAGUGGACGUAUACGGUGUGACGCCUGCCCGGUGCCGGAAGGUUAAUUGAUGGGGUUAUCCGUAAGGAGAAGCUCUUGAUCGAAGCCCCGGUAAACGGCGGCCGUAACUAUAACGGUCCUAAGGUAGCGAAAUUCCUUGUCGGGUAAGUUCCGACCUGCACGAAUGGCGUAAUGAUGGCCAGGCUGUCUCCACCCGAGACUCAGUGAAAUUGAACUCGCUGUGAAGAUGCAGUGUACCCGCGGCAAGACGGAAAGACCCCGUGAACCUUUACUAUAGCUUGACACUGAACAUUGAGCCUUGAUGUGUAGGAUAGGUGGGAGGCUUUGAAGCGUGGACGCCAGUCUGCGUGGAGCCAACCUUGAAAUACCACCCUUUAAUGUUUGAUGUUCUAACGUUGGCCCCUGACCGGGGUUGCGGACAGUGUCUGGUGGGUAGUUUGACUGGGGCGGUCUCCUCCCAAAGCGUAACGGAGGAGCACGAAGGUUAGCUAAUCCUGGUCGGACAUCAGGAGGUUAGUGCAAUGGCAUAAGCUAGCUUGACUGCGAGCGUGACGGCGCGAGCAGGUGCGAAAGCAGGUCAUAGUGAUCCGGUGGUUCUGAAUGGAAGGGCCAUCGCUCAACGGAUAAAAGGUACUCCGGGGAUAACAGGCUGAUACCGCCCAAGAGUUCAUAUCGACGGCGGUGUUUGGCACCUCGAUGUCGGCUCAUCACAUCCUGGGGCUGAAGUAGGUCCCAAGGGUAUGGCUGUUCGCCAUUUAAAGUGGUACGCGAGCUGGGUUUAGAACGUCGUGAGACAGUUCGGUCCCUAUCUGCCGUGGGCGCUGGAGAAUUGAGGGGGGCUGCUCCUAGUACGAGAGGACCGGAGUGGACGCAUCACUGGUGUUCGGGUUGUCAUGCCAAUGGCACUGCCCGGUAGCUAAAUGCGGAAGAGAUAAGUGCUGAAAGCAUCUAAGCACGAAACUUGCCCCGAGAUGAGUUCUCCCUGAGACUUUAAGUCUCCUGAAGGAACGUUGAAGACGACGACGUUGAUAGGCCGGGUGUGUAAGCGCAGCGAUGCGUUGAGCUAACCGGUACUAAUGAACCGUGAGGCUUAACCUUACAACGCCGAAG